AGAGUUUGAUCAUGGCUCAGGAUGAACGCUAGCGGGAGGCCUAACACAUGCAAGCCGAGCGGUAGAGAUUCUUCGGAAUCUUGAGAGCGGCGUACGGGUGCGUAACACGUGUGCAACCUGCCUUUAUCUGGGAGAUAGCCUUUCGAAAGGAAGAUUAAUAUCCCAUAAUAUAUUGAUUGGCAUCGAUCGAUAUUGAAAGCUCCGGCGGAUAAAGAUGGGCACGCGCAAGAUUAGAUAGUUGGUGAGGUAACGGCUCACCAAGUCGAUGAUCUUUAGGGGGCCUGAGAGGGUGAUCCCCCACACUGGUACUGAGACACGGACCAGACUCCUACGGGAGGCAGCAGUGAGGAAUAUUGGACAAUGGGUGGAAGCCUGAUCCAGCCAUCCCGCGUAAAGGAAUAAGGGCCUAUGGCUUGUAAACUUCUUUUGUACAGGGAUAAACCUACCCUCGUGAGGGUAGCUGAAGGUACUGUACGAAUAAGCACCGGCUAACUCCGUGCCAGCAGCCGCGGUAAUACGGAGGGUGCAAGCGUUAUCCGGAUUUAUUGGGUUUAAAGGGUCCGUAGGCGGGCUUAUAAGUCAGUGGUGAAAGCCGGCAGCUUAACUGUCGAACUGCCAUUGAUACUGUAAGUCUUGAGUAUAUUUGAGGUAGCUGGAAUAAGUAGUGUAGCGGUGAAAUGCAUAGAUAUUACUUAGAACACCAAUUGCGAAGGCAGGUUACCAAGUUAUAACUGACGCUGAUGGACGAAAGCGUGGGGAGCGAACAGGAUUAGAUACCCCGGUAGUCC
RNAcentral lists this ribosomal RNA (788 nucleotides) under uncultured bacterium. RNAcentral's name for it is "bacterial SSU rRNA". It matches the Rfam family "Bacterial small subunit ribosomal RNA", at positions 8 to 796 of the family's 1533-position model. The record is from RNAcentral.